This 445-nucleotide ribosomal RNA is filed under the name uncultured microorganism. RNAcentral's name for it is "bacterial SSU rRNA". It matches the Rfam family "Archaeal small subunit ribosomal RNA", at positions 330 to 730 of the family's 1478-position model. The record is from RNAcentral.
GCGCAGCAGGCGCGAAACCUCCGCAAUGCUCGAAAGAGCGACGGGGGGACUCCAAGUGCCUACGCUCAGCGUAGGCUGUUCCCGAGCCUAAAAAGCUCGGGGAGUAAGGGCUGGGUAAGACGGGUGCCAGCCGCCGCGGUAAUACCCGCAGCCCGAGUGGUGGCCGCUAUUAUUGGGCCUAAAGCGUCCGUAGCCGGCUCGGUAAAUGCCUGGGUAAAUCGUCUGGCCCAACCAGACGAAUUCCGGGUAGACUGCCGGGCUAGGGGACCGGAGGAGGGAGAGGGGUACUCCAGGGGUAGGGGUGAAAUCAGCAAGGUGAGUUGCUGAUGUAACUUGCCUUGCAAGUCACAAUCCUGUAAUCCCUGGAGGACCACCGGUGGCGAAGGCGCUCGUCCUAGGACGGGUCCGACGGUGAGGGACGAAAGCCAGGGGAGCAAACCGGAUU